This is an RNA transcript of Frankliniella occidentalis (western flower thrips), 3253 nucleotides long. It is a transcript of the gene named adenosine deaminase-like protein, with no coding region annotated. The transcript has 7 exons. The record is from RefSeq and is a predicted model, not a curated record. NCBI's taxonomy places the organism in Eukaryota, Metazoa, Arthropoda, Insecta, Thysanoptera, Thripidae.
CGCGCCCUGGUUGGUGGAGUGGGGGAAAGGGGAGGGGAGAGGGAAGGGGUGGGCAGGGAAGGGAAGGAGCAGGGCCAGAUAGAAGAGAGGGGAGGGGGGGAGGGGCACUGGCCCGUCGGACAUAGGGCGUUAGCUUCCAGCAGCUCGCGAAUUGAAGGUCGGCGCCGCCGGUCCAGCUUGCCUCUGGCAUGCCAAUCCCAUUCGCCGCCUCAGCCGUCCAAGCGCUACCCACACAUCAAACUGCCCAAUCUGAGGCGGAUAAUGUCGCUCACGAUGCCCAAUGGUUCUCGCGGACCAUCUCGGACGAGUGCGGGAGGGCCUUUGCUACCAGUGAAAGUUGAAACUUGAAAGCGGAGAUCGUAUUUAACUUUAUUGUCGCGGCGUAAUUUGCACGUUUGUUUUUAUGACGACGUAGAACACGCGAGGGAAGACUGUCAUACUUGGCGGGAGAGGAGGUGGGUCGGGAGGAGGGGUCUCUAACGAGUGGUCUAAUGAGGGCGACACGAGAGUAGGGAUAGGCCACACAUCCCGCCUCAAGUGCAGUGAGUGGACUGGAGACAGCGGUGUUUCGUACAGAUGAUUCCGCGUGUCGCGAAAACGUCCAUUUCAUCAACCGAGUCUCGCAAAUUUGCAAAGCUGUAACCGUAUAGGAGGCAAAACUAUAUAUCGCCAAUCGGACUCUUGAUUCUUCUCUAAUAAGAAAGAAAACACGCACGCGCGCCCGCGCCGACUAUUAGGAAGUGCAAAUAAGAAAUCAAUUGACUUUUAUUGACUGGCAAACAAAAACGGUAAACGACACCGCGCGGGCCGAGCAUACAUUACCGCCUUUCUCCCAAUGAUAGAUGGGCCGGCACAUCUACAUAAGCAAUCAGUGUAACGGGAUCAGUCCCGAGCCCACAGCGGGCUGGGCCGGGCGCGUCAGAAAGCGUCGGCUGGGCUGGCUCGCCGGCCGCGACGAGGAGGGAAGGCCCAGGGCGCCCCGGACGCAGCCCGCUUGUUUAUCUCGGGGCGCAUCCUGCUCGCGCGGGGGGCAGCCAAUGGGGACGCGGCCCAGCCUCGGUCGUCGAGGCAACGUCCAAUCGCAACGUCUCGGGGAGCCAAUGGGGGAGGCACGGGGGCGGAGCAGGGCGGCGGCGCCGGGGUUGGGAGCGAGAGAGAGAGGGGCGGCCCUCGCGCACCCCUGGCGAGGAGCGGGAGAGAGAGGGCGAGUGCGGGCGCGAGCGCCGUGGGCGGUCUCGGGGAGGAGCGGCGGCUACCAUUGGAGUGACAGUUGCCCCGUGUUGCCCACCGCUGGGCCGCAGCUGGCUACCUCCCCGGCACUCCGCAACCCCCUCGGCCGGGACGGACGGCCCUCUCAGUGGCUGUUGCAGCGAAACGAGACAAUGCAGAGGAAACAACCGGCGUCGUCGGUAGUCGACAGUGGGUGCGCGCGUGUUUAAGUUUCCCGAGGAACGCGUAGUCUACGGUGCUCCCGUAUUCACUGAAGGGGCCUCCUAGUGAUGUUCUAAGAAAAAUCGAGCUGCGCGCAGGAUCGCGCUGAAGAUAUCAUCGCCAUCGUAACGCGAGGGUACGAUGGAGAGCGUUGACAGCGGCACGAAGACGCCCAGCGCGUCGUCGACGCGGGAGGCAUCACCACCCGCCUGACUCCUCGGCGUCGUCCUCCCUGCGCCUCCGCCAGGAUGCUGCGCGCGCCCGGGUCGUCCUACCCGACGACGGAGCGCGGCGCGCGGCGCCCCAAGUGCGCGCGCUGUCGCAACCACGGCAUCAUCUCGUGGCUCAAGGGCCACAAGCGGCAGUGCCGCUUCAAGGGCUGCGUGUGCGCCAAGUGCAACCUCAUCGCGGAGCGGCAGCGCGUGAUGGCGGCGCAGGUGGCGCUGAAGCGGCAGCAGGCGGCGGAGGACGCCAUCGCCCUGGGGCUGGCCGCCGUGGCCACCGGCACGCAGUACGGCUUCCUCCCGCCGGGCCCCAUCUUCGGCAUGACCAUCACCGCUCCUAAAGGCGGCGCCGCAGCGGCUGAUUCCAACAACAACGCCAACCACGAACAGGAGGACGACGCCGAAGGUGAGGGCAGCGACGGGCGGCCCGAGGACCGCGACAGCGAGCUCAGCGCCCCAGAGCACGAGGAGGGGCCCGGUGAGCAGCAAGGCGAUCAUAGCCGCAACCGGAGCAGUGUCGCCAGCGCGGCUCCCAGCCCACCGCCCCUGCCGCCUGCUGCCCCCGCGCGGCCCGCGCCCACAGCCUCCUCCCUGGACCUGCUGGCGCGGCUCUUCCCCACCAAGAAGCGGUCAGUGCUGGAGCUGGUGCUGCGGCGCUGCGAGGAUGACCUGCUCCGGGCCAUCGAGCACUUUGCGCCUGGGUCCGCGGUGGGCUCGGUGGCGCCUGGCCAGGACGUGCCCACCCAGCUGCACGACGCCCGCCGGCCGCCGUCCUCCCCUAGGGUCGUGGCGCAGCAGUCGCCACCCGCAGCGCCACCGACCUGCGCACCCACCCCGCCGCCCCAGCAGAGCGCGGCGACGUCGCGGGGGUCAGCCUUCCGUCCCCUGCCGCCCCCGGUGGCGCCGCCGCCCCCCAUGGCGCACCAGGGCGGGCUCAGUCUGCGGCACCCGAUGCUCUUCCCAUUCCAUCAGGGUGGCAUGGGGGGCGUUGGCGGCCGCCUGCUCAGCCCGUGGUGCGCGUCGUCGUCGGACCUGCUGCUGGCGCUGCCGCCCCUGGGAGGCACCCUCGGCCCGCCACUGCCGCCGGGGGCGCACUCGGCGCACGGCCUGUUCUUCCAGCCCCCUCCGCUGUGCCUGGCGCCGCCGCCGGCCCAGCACCCACAACCCCCCGAGCACGGCGCCGAGCCCCGCGGCGGCCACGACUUGUCCUGGCUGCACGUGCACGCCGGCCCCCACCAGCACCUCGCCGACCACCGCACGAGGACGAUGCCACCGUCGCGGCGCUCCCCGGACGACUCCACUGAUUCCGGAGCUGCACGCACACCUAAAUGGAUCAUUAAGUGAGGAUACCCUGCGUGUCUUGUGCAUGGAAAAUCCAGACUUGAGUUCUGAUGAAAAGAUAAAUGCAUUGAUAUCCUCUUUUCAUCUUAAAAACCGGUCUCUGGAAGAGUGUUUCAAAAAAUUUGAUAUUGCUCAUGCGGUAACUAUUAAUCCUGCAGCUGUAAAGAAAGCCACCAAAGAUGUCAUAUCUGACUUUGCUGCUGAUGGCGUGGCUUAUCUGGAAAUCCGGACAACACCACGUUCUGUGCCAGGGGUCA